Molecule: ribosomal RNA, 581 nt
Filed under: Vibrio sp.
Lineage: Bacteria; Pseudomonadati; Pseudomonadota; Gammaproteobacteria; Vibrionales; Vibrionaceae
Description: bacterial SSU rRNA
Rfam family: Bacterial small subunit ribosomal RNA
Source: RNAcentral
UUGACGUUAGCGACAGAAGAAGCACCGGCUAACUCCGUGCCAGCAGCCGCGGUAAUACGGAGGGUGCGAGCGUUAAUCGGAAUUACUGGGCGUAAAGCGCAUGCAGGUGGUUUGUUAAGUCAGAUGUGAAAGCCCGGGGCUCAACCUCGGAAUAGCAUUUGAAACUGGCAGACUAGAGUACUGUAGAGGGGGGUAGAAUUUCAGGUGUAGCGGUGAAAUGCGUAGAGAUCUGAAGGAAUACCGGUGGCGAAGGCGGCCCCCUGGACAGAUACUGACACUCAGAUGCGAAAGCGUGGGGAGCAAACAGGAUUAGAUACCCUGGUAGUCCACGCCGUAAACGAUGUCUACUUGGAGGUUGUGGCCUUGAGCCGUGGCUUUCGGAGCUAACGCGUUAAGUAGACCGCCUGGGGAGUACGGUCGCAAGAUUAAAACUCAAAUGAAUUGACGGGGGCCCGCACAAGCGGUGGAGCAUGUGGUUUAAUUCGAUGCAACGCGAAGAACCUUACCUACUCUUGACAUCCAGAGAACUUUUCAGAGAUGAAUUGGUGCCUUCGGGAACUCUGAGACAGGUGCUGCAUGGC